This 443-nucleotide ribosomal RNA is filed under the name uncultured bacterium. Its description in RNAcentral is "partial 16S ribosomal RNA". It matches the Rfam family "Bacterial small subunit ribosomal RNA", at positions 338 to 795 of the family's 1533-position model. The record is from RNAcentral.
CCUACGGGAGGCAGCAGUUAGGAAUAUUGGGCAAUGGAGGAAACUCUGACCCAGCAACGCCGCGUGAAGGAAGAAGGUUUUCGGAUUGUAAACUUCUGAUCUGUGGGACGAAGAAAGUGACGGUACCACAGGAGAAAGCCACGGCUAACUACGUGCCAGCAGCCGCGGUAAUACGUAGGGGGCAAGCGUUAUCCGGAUUUACUGGGUGUAAAGGGAGCGUAGACGGCGAUGCAAGUCUGAAGUGAAAGGCGGGGGCCCAACCCCCGGACUGCUUUGGAAACUGUAUGGCUGGAGUGCAGGAGAGGUAAGUGGAAUUCCUAGUGUAGCGGUGAAAUGCGUAGAUAUUAGGAGGAACACCAGUGGCGAAGGCGGCUUACUGGACUGUAACUGACGUUGAGGCUCGAAAGCGUGGGGAGCAAACAGGAUUAGAUACCCGAGUAGUC